GACGUAGGGUGCGAGCGUUGUCCGGAUUUAUUGGGCGUAAAGAGCUCGUAGGCGGCUUGUCGCGUCGACUGUGAAAACCCGCAGCUCAACUGCGGGCCUGCAGGCGAUACGGGCAGGCUAGAGUUCGGUAGGGGAGACUGGAAUUCCUGGUGUAGCGGUGAAAUGCGCAGAUAUCAGGAGGAACACCGGUGGCGAAGGCGGGUCUCUGGGCCGAUACUGACGCUGAGGAGCGAAAGCGUGGGGAGCGAACAGG
Molecule: ribosomal RNA, 253 nt
Filed under: uncultured bacterium
Lineage: Bacteria
Description: partial 16S ribosomal RNA
Rfam family: Bacterial small subunit ribosomal RNA
Source: RNAcentral